UACGUAGGCAGCAAGCGUUGUUCGGAGUUACUGGGCGUAAAGCGUGCGUAGACGGUUAUUUAAGUCGGGUGUGAAAGCCCCGGGCUCAACCUGGGAAUUGCAUUCGAGACUGAAUAGCUAGGGUACGGUAGAGGGAAGCGGAAUUUCCGGUGUAGCGGUGAAAUGCGUAGAGAUCGGGAAGAACAUCGGUGGCGAAGGCGGCCUGCUGGGCUGUUGCUGACGCUGAGGCGCGACAGCGUGGGGAGCAAACAGG
RNAcentral lists this ribosomal RNA (253 nucleotides) under uncultured bacterium. RNAcentral describes it as "partial 16S ribosomal RNA". It matches the Rfam family "Bacterial small subunit ribosomal RNA", at positions 524 to 776 of the family's 1533-position model. The record is from RNAcentral.